This 77-nucleotide transfer RNA is filed under the name Leptolyngbya sp. FACHB-16. Its description in RNAcentral is "tRNA-Glu". Lineage: Bacteria; Bacillati; Cyanobacteriota; Cyanophyceae; Leptolyngbyales; Leptolyngbyaceae. The record is from RNAcentral. RNAcentral also lists the same sequence under 1 other name.
AGCAUCGUGGACGAAUAGAGAAGUCGCCGUGCCUCUCAAGCAUGAAGAAGCGGGUGCAACCCCCGUCGAUGCUCCCA